GACGAACGCUGGCGGCGUGCCUAAUACAUGCAAGUAGAACGCUGAAGAGAGGAGCUUGCUCUUCUUGGAUGAGUUGCGAACGGGUGAGUAACGCGUAGGUAACCUGCCUUGUAGCGGGGGAUAACUAUUGGAAACGAUAGCUAAUACCGCAUAACAAUGGAUGACCCAUGUCAUUUAUUUGAAAGGGGCAAAUGCUCCACUACAAGAUGGACCUGCGUUGUAUUAGCUAGUAGGUGAGGUAACGGCUCACCUAGGCGACGAUACAUAGCCGACCUGAGAGGGUGAUCGGCCACACUGGGACUGAGACACGGCCCAGACUCCUACGGGAGGCAGCAGUAGGGAAUCUUCGGCAAUGGGGGCAACCCUGACCGAGCAACGCCGCAUGAGUGAAGAAGGUUUUCGGAUCGUAAAGCUCUGUUGUAAGUCAAGAACGAGUGUGAGAGUGGAAAGUUCACACUGUGACGGUAGCUUACCAGAAAGGGACGGCUAACUACGUG
This 497-nucleotide ribosomal RNA is filed under the name uncultured bacterium. Its description in RNAcentral is "partial 16S ribosomal RNA". It matches the Rfam family "Bacterial small subunit ribosomal RNA", at positions 28 to 507 of the family's 1533-position model. The record is from RNAcentral.